UACGGAGGGUGCAAACGUUGUUCGGAAUCACUGGGCAUAAAGCGCACGUAGGCGGCCAACUAAGUCAGGUGUGAAAUCCCCCGGCUCAACCGGGGAACUGCAUUUGAUACUGGUUGGCUCGAGGUUGGUAGGGGUGGAUGGAACUCCAGGUGGAGCGGUGAGAUGCGUAGAUAUCUGGAGGAACACCGAUGGCGAAGGCAGCCUCCUGGGCCAACACUGACGCUCAUGCACGAAAGCGUGGGGAGCAAACAGG
This 253-nucleotide ribosomal RNA is filed under the name uncultured bacterium. Its description in RNAcentral is "partial 16S ribosomal RNA". It matches the Rfam family "Bacterial small subunit ribosomal RNA", at positions 524 to 776 of the family's 1533-position model. The record is from RNAcentral.